UCGAGAAUCUUCGGCAAUGGGCGAAAGCCUGACCGAGAGACGCCGCGUGAGGGAAGAAGGCCUUCGGGUUGUAAACCUCUUUCGUAGAGGAGGAAGGGGCCGUGCAGAGCGGUCUUUGACCUAUUCUAGGAAGAAGCUUGGGCUAAGUUCGUGCCAGCAGCCGCGGUAAGACGAAACCAAAGCGAACGUUAUUCGGAAUUACUGGGCUUAAAGCGCGUGUAGGCGGAUGACCACGUCAGUCGUUGAAAUCCCCCGGCUCAACCGGGGAACAGGCGCUGAUACGAGUUGUCUGGAGGUGGGUAGGGGAGACUGGAACUUCCGGUGGAGCGGUGAAAUGCGUUGAGAUCGGA
This 350-nucleotide ribosomal RNA is filed under the name uncultured bacterium. RNAcentral's name for it is "bacterial SSU rRNA". It matches the Rfam family "Bacterial small subunit ribosomal RNA", at positions 355 to 701 of the family's 1533-position model. The record is from RNAcentral.